RNAcentral lists this ribosomal RNA (253 nucleotides) under uncultured bacterium. RNAcentral's name for it is "partial 16S ribosomal RNA". It matches the Rfam family "Bacterial small subunit ribosomal RNA", at positions 524 to 776 of the family's 1533-position model. The record is from RNAcentral.
GACGGAAGGUGCAAGCGUUGCUCGGAAUUACUGGGCGUAAAGCGUGCGCAGGCGGUUAUGUAAGACAGCUGUGAAAUGCCCGGGCUUAACCUGGGAACUGCAUUUGUGACUGCAUGGCUAGAGUUUGGCAGAGGGGGGUAGAAUUCCACGUGUAGCAGUGAAAUGCGUAGAUAUGUGGAGGAAUACCGAUGGCGAAGGCAGCCCCCUGGGAUAACACUGACGCUCAUGCACGAAAGCGUGGGGAGCAAACAGG